AGCGAACGCUGGCGGCAGGCUUAACACAUGCAAGUCGAGCGCCCGUAGCAAUACGGGAGCGGCAGACGGGUGAGUAACACGUGGGAACGUGCCUUUCGGUUCGGAACAACCCAGGGAAACUUGGGCUAAUACCGGAUACGCCCUUACGGGGAAAGAUUUAUCGCCGAAAGAUCGGCCCGCGUCUGAUUAGCUAGUUGGUGGGGUAAUGGCUCACCAAGGCGACGAUCAGUAGCUGGUCUGAGAGGAUGAUCAGCCACACUGGGACUGAGACACGGCCCAGACUCCUACGGGAGGCAGCAGUGGGGAAUCUUGCGCAAUGCGCGAAAGCGUGACGCAGCAACGCCGCGUGGGGGAAGAAGGCCUUCGGGUCGU
This 372-nucleotide ribosomal RNA is filed under the name uncultured bacterium. Its description in RNAcentral is "bacterial SSU rRNA". It matches the Rfam family "Bacterial small subunit ribosomal RNA", at positions 29 to 426 of the family's 1533-position model. The record is from RNAcentral.